Molecule: ribosomal RNA, 608 nt
Filed under: uncultured bacterium
Lineage: Bacteria
Description: bacterial SSU rRNA
Rfam family: Bacterial small subunit ribosomal RNA
Source: RNAcentral
UCAAAGGAAUUGACGGGUCUCCGCACAAGCGGUGGAGCAUGUUGUUUAAUUCGAAGAUACGCGAAGAACCUUACCUGGUCUUGACAUCCUUUUGACCGUCCUAGAGAUAGGAUUUCCCUUCGGGGCAGAAGUGACAGGUGGYGCRUGGUUGUCGUCAGCUCGUGUCGUGAGAUGUUGGGUUAAGUCCCGCAACGAGCGCAACCCCUAUCGAUAGUUGCUAACAUUUAGUUGAGGACUCUAUCGAGACUGCCAGUGAUAAACUGGAGGAAGGUGGGGAUGACGUCAAAUCAUCAUGCCCCUUAUGACCAGGGYUACAAACGUGCUACAAUGGCCAGUACAGCGAGAUGCAAAGCGGCGACGUGGAGCAAACCUUUCAAAGCUGGUCUCAGUUCGGAUUGAAGUCUGCAACUCGACUUCAUGAAGUUGGAAUCGCUAGUAAUCGUGGGUCAGCAUACCACGGUGAAUACGUUCUCGGAGAUUGUACACACCGCCCGYCAUACCACGAGAGUCUGUAACACCCGAAGUAGGUGGCCUAACUGUAAAGAGGGAGCCUCCUAAGGUGGGAUGGAUGAUUGGGGUAAAGUCGUAACAAGGUAACCAAGGGCGAA